AGUGGGUAGUCCGCACGAGCGCACCCUCACUUUUAGUUGCCAUCAUUAAGUUGGGCACUCUGAAAGAACUGCCAGUGAUAAGCUGGAGGAAGGUGGGGAUGACGUCAAGUCCUCAUGGCCCUUACGUGUUGGGCUACACACGUGCUACAAUGGUAUCUACAACAGGAAGCAAAACGGCAACGUUAAGCAAAUCCUUAAAAGAUACCUCAGUUCGGAUUGCACUCUGCAACUCGAGUGCAUGAAGCUGGAAUUACUAGUAAUCGUGGAUCAGCGUGCCACGGUGAAUGCGUUCCCGGGUCUUGUACACACCGCCCGUCAAGCCAUGGAAGCUGGGAGUGCCUGAAGUCGGUAACCGUAAGGAGCUGCCUAGGGUAAAACUGGUAACUGGGGCUAAGUCGUAACAAGGUAGCCGUACCGGAAGGUGCGGCUGGAACACCUCCUUUUU
Molecule: ribosomal RNA, 445 nt
Filed under: uncultured Pelagibacterales bacterium
Lineage: Bacteria; Pseudomonadati; Pseudomonadota; Alphaproteobacteria; Candidatus Pelagibacterales
Description: bacterial SSU rRNA
Rfam family: Bacterial small subunit ribosomal RNA
Source: RNAcentral